This 274-nucleotide ribosomal RNA is filed under the name uncultured bacterium. RNAcentral describes it as "partial 16S ribosomal RNA". It matches the Rfam family "Bacterial small subunit ribosomal RNA", at positions 523 to 796 of the family's 1533-position model. The record is from RNAcentral.
AUACAGAGAGUGCAAGCGUUAAUCGGAAUUACUGGGCGUAAAGCGCACGUAGGUGGAUAUUUAAGUCGGAUGUGAAAGCCCUGGGCUCAACCUAGGAAUUGCACCCGAUACUGGGUAUCUAGAGUAUGCGAGAGGGAAGUGGAAUUUCCGGUGUAGCGGUGAAAUGCGUAGAUAUCGGAAAGAACACCAGUGGCGAAGGCGGCUUCCUGGACCAAUACUGACACUGAGGUGCGAAAGCGUGGGGAGCAAACAGCAUUAGAAACCCCGGUAGUCC